Molecule: long non-coding RNA, 306 nt
Filed under: Elaeis guineensis (African oil palm)
Lineage: Eukaryota; Viridiplantae; Streptophyta; Magnoliopsida; Arecales; Arecaceae
Description: long non-coding RNA (EGUI_LNC063186)
Source: RNAcentral
GCCAGCCUAUUGACAAUUGUGUUCAUAUUUGUAUAUUGUAUAUGAAUGUUUAUUAAUAAAAGUUAUUUAGCUUUUUCAUCAUAUUUUAUCUAUCUUCUUAGAACUCCUGUAUUGUGAUGAAGUCUUUAGGACUAUAUUUAAUUGAUAAAGGAGGAUUUGUCGUUUAGUCCUUAAAACAUGUUUGCGAUCAAAUGAUAUGCUGUUAAUAAGAUGAUAGCGAUAUCAAGUAUAGGUCGUUGUGUGUCAUAUGGGUUGGUUGUUAUCUUAACCAAGGAGUGUAGUGACACUGGUAUGGCAUACAGAUGG